GAUGAACGCUGGCGGCGUGCCUAAUACAUGCAAGUCGAGCGAACAGACGAGGAGCUUGCUCCUCUGAUGUUAGCGGCGGACGGGUGAGUGACACGUGGAUAACCUACCUAUAAGACUGGGAUAACUUCGGGAAACCGGAGCUAAUACCGGAUAACAUGUUGAACCGCAUGGUUCAACAGUGAAAGACGGUCUUGCUGUCACUUAUAGAUGGAUCCGCGCCGCAUUAGCUAGUUGGUAAGGUAACGGCUUACCAAGGCAACGAUGCGUAGCCGACCUGAGAGGGUGAUCGGCCACACUGGAACUGAGACACGGUCCAGACUCCUACGGGAGGCAGCAGUAGGGAAUCUUCCGCAAUGGGCGAAAGCCUGACGGAGCAACGCCGCGUGAGUGAAGAAGGUCUUCGGAUCGUAAAACUCUGUUAUUAGGGAAGAACAAAUGUGUAAGUAACUAUGCACGUCUUGACGGUACCUAAUCAGAAAGCCACGGCUAACUACGUG
RNAcentral lists this ribosomal RNA (497 nucleotides) under uncultured bacterium. Its description in RNAcentral is "partial 16S ribosomal RNA". It matches the Rfam family "Bacterial small subunit ribosomal RNA", at positions 28 to 507 of the family's 1533-position model. The record is from RNAcentral.